Molecule: ribosomal RNA, 439 nt
Filed under: uncultured bacterium
Lineage: Bacteria
Description: partial 16S ribosomal RNA
Rfam family: Bacterial small subunit ribosomal RNA
Source: RNAcentral
CUACGGGUUGCACCAGUGGGGAAUAUUGCACAAUGGAGGAAACUCUGAUGCAGCAACGCCGCGUGGAGGAUGACACUUUUCGGAGCGUAAACUCCUUUUAUAUAGGAAGAAGAUGACGGUACUAUAUGAAUAAGCGCCGGCUAACUCCGUGCCAGCAGCCGCGGUAAUACGGCGGGCGCAAGCGUUACUCGGAAUCACUGGGCGUAAAGAGCGUGUAGGCGGAUUAAAAAGUCAGAAGUGAAAUCCUAUAGCUUAACUAUAGAACUGCUUCUGAAACUCUUAAUCUAGAAUAUGGGAGAGGUAGAUGGAAUUUCUGGUGUAGGGGUAAAAUCCGUAGAGAUCAGAAGGAAUACCGAUUGCGAAGGCGAUCUACUAGAACAUUAUUGACGCUGAGACGCGAAAGCGUGGGGAGCAAACAGGGUUAGAUACCCGGGUAGUC